Molecule: ribosomal RNA, 384 nt
Filed under: uncultured bacterium
Lineage: Bacteria
Description: bacterial SSU rRNA
Rfam family: Bacterial small subunit ribosomal RNA
Source: RNAcentral
GACGAACGCUGGCGGCGUGCUUAACACAUGCAAGUCGAGCGAUGAAACACCUUCGGUGUGAAUUAGCGGCGAACGGGUGAGUAACACGUGAGCAAUCUGCCCUUGACUCUGGGAUAACUGCGGGAAACUGUAGCUAAUACCGGAUACGACACCUUGGGGCAUCCCAGGGUGUGGAAAGAAUUUCGGUCAAGGAUGAGCUCGCGGCCUAUCAGCUAGUUGGUGAGGUAAUGGCUCACCAAGGCGACGACGGGUAGCCGGCCUGAGAGGGUGACCGGCCACACUGGAACUGAGACACGGUCCAGACUCCUACGGGAGGCAGCAGUGGGGAAUAUUGCACAAUGGGCGAAAGCCUGAUGCAGCAACGCCGCGUGAGGGAUGAAGGCC